Molecule: long non-coding RNA, 345 nt
Organism: Myotis myotis
Lineage: Eukaryota; Metazoa; Chordata; Mammalia; Chiroptera; Vespertilionidae
Exons: 3
Source: RefSeq, a predicted model, not a curated record
AGGAACACAACCCUGACCUGGAGCCAUUGGCAAGAGGGGUGCUGCUCACUGGUUCUCACUCGAGGCCAGCACCAGGCAGGAUUGCAAGCUCUGACUGGGUUCAGUCUGUUCAGCCAGGACUCACCUGGAAGGACUGCAAGGCCACCUACCCACCUUCACAACUGACCCGGCAGAAUUGGUUUGAAGAAAGAAUUCUACAACUUAAAGAAUUAAAGUUGGAGCACCAUUGCCUUGGAUGGAGUAGCCAGCACAGCCCAUGUCCAUCCUUGAUGCCAACUUCUUCAAAAUUUAUUUCCUCUAGCAUAUUCUUUUUUUUAAAAUAAAUCUUUAUUGUUCAGAUUAUUA